This 497-nucleotide ribosomal RNA is filed under the name uncultured bacterium. Its description in RNAcentral is "partial 16S ribosomal RNA". It matches the Rfam family "Bacterial small subunit ribosomal RNA", at positions 28 to 507 of the family's 1533-position model. The record is from RNAcentral.
GAUGAACGCUGGCGGCGUGCCUAAUACAUGCAAGUCGAGCGAACAGACGAGGAGCUUGCUCCUCUGACGUUAGCGGCGGACGGGUGAGUAACACGUGGAUAACCUACCUAUAAGACUGGGAUAACUUCGGGAAACCGGAGCUAAUACCGGAUAAUAUAUUGAACCGCAUGGUUCAAUAGUGAAAGACGGUUUUGCUGUCACUUAUAGAUGGAUCCGCGCCGCAUUAGCUAGUUGGUAAGGUAACGGCUUACCAAGGCAACGAUGCGUAGCCGACCUGAGAGGGGGAGAGGCAACACGGGAACGGAGAACGGGUCAAGACUCCACGGGGAGGCAGAAGUAGGGAAUGUCCGGAAAGGGGAGAAGGCCUGACGGAGAAACGCGGGGGGAGGAAUGAAGGUCUGCGGAUCGAAAAACUGUGUUAUGAGGAAAAAACAAAUGGGAAAGAAAAUAGGCAGGUCUGGAGGUAACAAAAUAAGAAAGCCACGGCAAACUACGUG